UACGGAGGGUGCGAGCGUUAUCCGGAUUUAUUAGGUUUAAAGGGUGCGUAGGCGGACCUUUAAGUCAGUGGUGAAAUCCCGUGGCUCAACCACGGAACUGCCAUUGAUACUGGAGGUCUUGAGUACGGUCAAGGUGGGCGGAAUGCGUCGUGUAGCGGUGAAAUGCAUAGAUACGACGCAGAACACCAAUUGCGGAGGCAGCUCACUGGCCCGUAACUGACGCUGAUGCACGAAAGCGUGGGUAGCGAAC
RNAcentral lists this ribosomal RNA (250 nucleotides) under uncultured bacterium. RNAcentral's name for it is "partial 16S ribosomal RNA". It matches the Rfam family "Bacterial small subunit ribosomal RNA", at positions 524 to 773 of the family's 1533-position model. The record is from RNAcentral.